Molecule: ribosomal RNA, 492 nt
Filed under: uncultured bacterium
Lineage: Bacteria
Description: bacterial SSU rRNA
Rfam family: Bacterial small subunit ribosomal RNA
Source: RNAcentral
ACUCAAAGGAAUUGACGGGGGCCCGCACAAGCAGUGGAGUAUGUGGUUUAAUUCGAAGCAACGCGAAGAACCUUACCAGGUCUUGACAUCCCUCUGACCGGUGUAGAGAUACACCUUCUCUUCGGAGCAGAGGUGACAGGUGGUGCAUGGUUGUCGUCAGCUCGUGUCGUGAGAUGUUGGGUUAAGUCCCGCAACGAGCGCAACCCUUAUCAUUAGUUGCUACGCAAGAGCACUCUAAUGAGACUGCCGUUGACAAAACGGAGGAAGGUGGGGAUGACGUCAAAUCAUCAUGCCCCUUAUGACCUGGGCUACACACGUACUACAAUGGCUAUUAACAGAGGGAAGCAAAGCCGCGAGGUGGAGCAAAUCCCCAAAAAUAGUCUCAGUUCGGAUUGUAGGCUGCAACUCGCCUACAUGAAGUCGGAAUUGCUAGUAAUCGCAGAUCAGCAUGCUGCGGUGAAUACGUUCCCGGGCCUUGUACACACCGCCCGU